AGUGAACGCUGGCGGUAGGCCUAACACAUGCAAGUCGAACGGCAGCACAGGAGGACUUGCUCUCUGGGUGGCGAGUGGCGGACGGGUGAGGAAUACAUCGGAAUCUGCCCAGUCGUGGGGGGGAACGUAGGGAAACUUACGCUAAUACCGCAUACGACCUUCGGGGGUAAGAGGGGGAGCGCAAGACCUCUCGCGAUUGGAUGAGCCGAUGUCGGAUUAGCUAGUUGGCGGGGUAAUGGCCCACCAAGGCGACGAUCCGUAGCUGGUCUGAGAGGAUGAUCAGCCACACUGGAACUGAGACACGGUCCAGACUCCUACGGGAGGCAGCAGUGGGGAAUAUUGGACAAUGGGCGCAAGCCUGAUCCAGCCAUACCGCGUGGGUGAAGAAGGCCUUCGGGUUGUAAAGCCCUUUUGUUGGGAAAGAAAUCUUUCAGGCUAAUACCCUGGGAGGAUGACGGUACCCAAAGAAUAAGCACCGGCUAACUUCGUG
This 490-nucleotide ribosomal RNA is filed under the name uncultured bacterium. RNAcentral's name for it is "partial 16S ribosomal RNA". It matches the Rfam family "Bacterial small subunit ribosomal RNA", at positions 29 to 507 of the family's 1533-position model. The record is from RNAcentral.